Molecule: long non-coding RNA, 2084 nt
Organism: Solanum dulcamara
Lineage: Eukaryota; Viridiplantae; Streptophyta; Magnoliopsida; Solanales; Solanaceae
Exons: 2
Source: RefSeq, a predicted model, not a curated record
UGACCUGGCCCAAAUAACCCAACUAAAUAUUUCAAUCUCUCCUCCAUUUUCAUUGAACCACAAUUCAGAGUCAAAAAUCACCGCUUCCAAUCCGUCGGCGAAAGACCGGCGACACCACUCCCAUCACCCUUGGACCAUGGAUGAAUUCCACUCUCAACAACCUCCCAAUGCUCCAAAGAGCUCUGAAAAAUUGAGUUUUCGCUCUUUUUUUCAUCAUCUCCUCUCAAAAUCACUCGGAAAAUUUCCCCCUUAUUUUGGUUUUCAUAAUUUUAAACAGCUUCGUUGAGGAUCUAAGUUUCAGUUUUUAGGUUACUCAGUUGAAUAAGCUUUUCAUAGGUAAAGACUCAGGGCUUUUUACUGAUUCGCUGUCUCGGAGAAGGUCAGCAUCUUCCAUUUUCCUAGGUCUAUAAAUGAAUGUGUGGAUAAUUGAAUGUUCUUGCUGCUCAACAAUUUUUUUGUUUUACACAUACAAACUUUUUAUUUUUAUUUGAUAAAAAUCAGCAUGUGAUGGCUAAUAUGAACUGAAAAUCCUAAGCAAAAAUAAAUUACUGAUCAGUUAAUUUAUCAAAUAGGUGAUUAACAUCGUUGCUCGUCUAAUUUUUGAGUUGAGAAUUACUAGAAUAUGUUUUACUUUAUUCUUUUUUUAGAAAUUUAUAUGAGAGUUUUAAAAUGUACUUGAACACUUGGGAGGAAGCCACUAAUUCAUAGAAGAAUUUUAUUUUUUAUCAGAAUUUGUGACUGCUAGAAUAAUAUUGUUGCUCAUCUAAAAUUUGUUUCCAAUGCUCUUUAUGAACAACAUAUUGACAAUAAUAGAGAGAGGGCUGAGAAAUUAGGCACAUAAAGCUUGGAUUUCAAGAUUCUCAAUAUAUCACAUUCAUGUCAUUGAAUACUUGAAGAAAGCAAAGAAGAGUUGCUUGAUGAUGAUGGAGAUGUCACUGGAAAAGAAAUAAUGAUAUGGAGUGACAAAACACAUUUACCACAAUUAACUACAUUUUGACUUUUUUGAUAAUUGAGUUCGAGUAAAUGGUCAUAAAUUCAGUUUUAACUAUAUGCUUGUGAUGAUUUUAACUUCUUUUUAUCUUGGCUAAUCAAUCAGCUCAGCAAGUCAGAUGCUUCUCAAGUAUAAUUUUUGCGCGUGCAGUUUUAUCAUAUUUAUUCAUUAUUUUGUUUUUACAAAGUUGUUUGCUACUAAUGUUGAUUCUCUGAAUUACUUGAGAAGCCGAGAAAAAAAUUGAGAUAGAUUGAAAGAUGCCAGAAGAACAAAGAUAAAUUUGUGUAGAAAUGGAUAGAAGGCUUCAAGAACUAAUGAGAAUAGAAGUGGACAAAAGGAUUAAAAAAAGGAUGGUUCCUACAUGUCGAGAAUUCAACAGGUAAUCUAUUUGUAUCUUUAUCGACUUUUUUGUUUUAAUUACAACACAAGUGGGCAUUUAUCAGUUCUCGGGGUUAUAAAUUUCUUAUCGAAUAAUAACCUUAAUUAUUGUGUUUUUUAUAAUUAAGAUCAGUUCUAUAACUAAGGGCACAAGUACUACUACUUAAGAUGUUAUUUCUGCAAACAAGGUGAAAUACAUGAAGUUAUUUCUCCAUUGAUUGAAACAAAGAGGUGGUUGUCCAACUUCUCUCUCUGAAAAUGCGAAGGGAAAAUUUUGUUUUUUAAGCUAAGAUAUACACCACAUAUGUUGGAAAGGCCCCCACAUUUUGGUAGAGUACUAGUUCUAUGUUGUUAUUGGCCUCAAGAGAAAACCUCGUCUUUAUGUCUAAUAGAGUUGUUAAUUAUUUUGAAUUAAGUUUAUCGUUCAAUUUUAGAAUAAAUUCCCAGAAAAUAUGAGCCCCUAUCCUUCUUUUGUUUCAUGUUUUUUUUUUACUUUUUCCAUUUUGAUGGAAUUUUUUGGCUCUUCAGUUUCAAGCGAGGGGCAAUGUUCUUACAUAAUCUCAAAUGGCGUCGACAAAGGAGGAGCUUGAAGGCACUUGAUAUUCUUUUUCAUAUGUGUAUGCAUUAAUGACAUUGAACAAUGAAAUAUUGUGAAAUAUAUAUUUUAUUGAUUUCUUAGUAAUGAAAGUACUUAUGAUAUUCAAUUUGAGAAUUA